GAACGGGUGAGUACACGUGGGUGAUCUGCCCUGCACUUUGGGAUAAGCCUGGGAAACUGGGUCUAAUACCGAAUAGGACCACGCGCUUCGUGGUGUGUGGUGGAAAGCUUUUGCGGUGUGGGAUGGGCCCGCGNNNNNUCAGCUUGUUGGUGGGGUAAUGGCCUACCAAGGCGACGACGGGUAGCCGGCCUGAGAGGGUGACCGGCCACACUGGGACUGAGAUACGGCCCAGACUCCUACGGGAGGCAGCAGUGGGGAAUAUUGCACAAUGGGCGCAAGCCUGAUGCAGCGACGCCGCGUGAGGGAUGACGGCCUUCGGGUUGUAAACCUCUUUCAAUAGGGACGAAGCGCAAGUGACGGUACCUAUAGAAGAAGCACCGGCCAACUACGUGCCAGCAGCCGCGGUAAUACGUAGGGUGCGAGCGUUGUCCGGAAUUACUGGGCGUAAAGAGCUCGUAGGUGGUUUGUCGCGUUGUUCGUGAAAACUCACAGCUUAACUGUGGGCGUGCGGGCGAUACGGGCAGACUAGAGUACUGCAGGGGAGACUGGAAUUCCUGGUGUAGCGGUGGAAUGCGCAGAUAUCAGGAGGAACACCGGUGGCGAAGGCGGGUCUCUGGGCAGUAACUGACGCUGAGGAGCGAAAGCGUGGGGAGCGAACAGGAUUAGAUACCCUGGUAGUCCACGCCGUAAACGGUGGGUACUAGGUGUGGGUUCCUUCCUUGGGAUCCGUGCCGUAGCUAACGCAUUAAGUACCCCGCCUGGGGAGUACGGCCGCAAGGCUAAAACUCAAAGGAAUUGACGGGGGCCCGCACAAGCGGCGGAGCAUGUGGAUUAAUU
This 837-nucleotide ribosomal RNA is filed under the name uncultured bacterium. RNAcentral's name for it is "bacterial SSU rRNA". It matches the Rfam family "Bacterial small subunit ribosomal RNA", at positions 100 to 951 of the family's 1533-position model. The record is from RNAcentral.